GGAUGAUUAGCUCAGUUGGUUAGAGCACCUCGUUUACACCGAGGGGGUCGCUGGUUCGAGUCCAGCAUCAUCCACAA
RNAcentral lists this transfer RNA (77 nucleotides) under Candidatus Moraniibacteriota bacterium. Its description in RNAcentral is "Candidatus Moranbacteria bacterium tRNA-Val". It matches the Rfam family "tRNA". Rfam says of the family: Transfer RNA (tRNA) molecules are approximately 80 nucleotides in length. Their secondary structure includes four short double-helical elements and three loops (D, anti-codon, and T loops). Lineage: Bacteria; Candidatus Moraniibacteriota. The record is from RNAcentral.